AGGGCAUAUGUCUUGUAAUUGGAAUGAUGCCGACUUAAACCCUCGGCAGAGUACCAAUUGGAGGGCAAGUCUGGUGCCAGCAGCCGCGGUAAUUCCAGCUCCAAUAGCGUAUAUUAAACUUGUUGCAGUUAAAAAGCUCGUAGUUGAAUUUGAGCUUGCGCGAUUCCGUUAUUGGAGUAUUGCGCUUGCUUUUUUGUUACUUUGAGAAAAUUAGAGUGUUUCAAGCAGACUUUUGUCUUGAAUACUUCAGCAUGGAAUAAUAGAGUAGGACCUUGGUUCUAUUUUGUUGGUUUUUGAGCCUUGGUAAUGGUUAAUAGGAACGGUUGGGGGCAUUCGUAUUUAA
This 343-nucleotide ribosomal RNA is filed under the name Babesia motasi. RNAcentral describes it as "SSU rRNA". It matches the Rfam family "Eukaryotic small subunit ribosomal RNA", at positions 487 to 901 of the family's 1831-position model. Lineage: Eukaryota; Apicomplexa; Aconoidasida; Piroplasmida; Babesiidae. The record is from RNAcentral.